UACGGAGGGGGCUAGCGUUGUUCGGAAUUACUGGGCGUAAAGCGCACGUAGGCGGCUUUGCAAGUUAGAGGUGAAAGCCCGGGGCUCAACUCCGGAAUUGCCUUUAAAACUGCAUCGCUAGAAUUGUGGAGAGGUAAGUGGAAUUCCGAGUGUAGAGGUGAAAUUCGUAGAUAUUCGGAAGAACACCAGUGGCGAAGGCGACUUACUGGACACAUAUUGACGCUGAGGCGCGAGAGCGUGGGGAGCGAACCGG
RNAcentral lists this ribosomal RNA (253 nucleotides) under uncultured bacterium. RNAcentral's name for it is "partial 16S ribosomal RNA". It matches the Rfam family "Bacterial small subunit ribosomal RNA", at positions 524 to 776 of the family's 1533-position model. The record is from RNAcentral.